RNAcentral lists this ribosomal RNA (484 nucleotides) under uncultured bacterium. RNAcentral's name for it is "partial 16S ribosomal RNA". It matches the Rfam family "Bacterial small subunit ribosomal RNA", at positions 28 to 523 of the family's 1533-position model. The record is from RNAcentral.
GAUGAACGCUGGCGGCGUGCUUAACACAUGCAAGUCGAACGAUGAAGGAGGAGCUUGCUCCUCUGGAUUAGUGGCGAACGGGUGAGUAACACGUGAGCAAUCUGCCCCUGACUCUGGGAUAAGCGUUGGAAACGACGUCUAAUACCGGAUACGAGCCGAGCAGGCUUCUGCAUCGGUUGGAAAGAACUUCGGUCAGGGAUGAGCGCGCGGCCUAUCAGCUAGUUGGUGAGGUAAUGGCUCACCAAGGCGACGACGGGUAGCCGGCCUGAGAGGGUGACCGGCCACACUGGGACUGAGACACGGCCCAGACUCCUACGGGAGGCAGCAGUGGGGAAUAUUGCACAAUGGGCGCAAGCCUGAUGCAGCAACGCCGCGUGAGGGACGACGGCCUUCGGGUUGUAAACCUCUUUUAGCAGGGAAGAAGCGAGAGUGACGGUACCUGCAGAAAAAGCACCGGCUAACUACGUGCCAGCCGCCGCGGUAA